AUUGAACGCUGGCGGCAGGCUUAACACACGCAAGUCGAGCGGGGGAAGGUAGCUUGCUACCGGACCUAGCGGCGGACGGGUGAGUAAUGCUUAGGAAUCUGCCUAUUAGUGGGGGACAACAUCUCGAAAGGGAUGCUAAUACCGCAUACGUCCUACGGGAGAAAGCAGGGGAUCUUCGGACCUUGCGCUAAUAGAUGAGCCUAAGUCGGAUUAGCUAGUUGGUGGGGUAAAGGCCUACCAAGGCGACGAUCUGUAGCGGGUCUGAGAGGAUGAUCCGCCACACUGGGACUGAAACACGGCCCAGACUCCUACGGGAGGCAGCAGUGGGGAAUAUUGGACAAUGGGGGGAACCCUGAUCCAGCCAUGCCGCGUGUGUGAAGAAGGCCUUAUGGUUGUAAAGCACUUUAAGCGAGGAGGAGGCUACUCUAGUUAAUACCUAGGGAUAGUGGACGUUACUCGCAGAAUAAGCACCGGCUAACUCUGUGCCAGCCGCCGCGGUAA
RNAcentral lists this ribosomal RNA (501 nucleotides) under uncultured bacterium. Its description in RNAcentral is "partial 16S ribosomal RNA". It matches the Rfam family "Bacterial small subunit ribosomal RNA", at positions 30 to 523 of the family's 1533-position model. The record is from RNAcentral.